CCUACGGGAGGCAGCAGUGGGGAAUAUUGCACAAUGGGGGAAACCCUGAUGCAGCGACGCCGCGUGAGCGAUGAAGUAUUUCGGUAUGUAAAGCUCUAUCAGCAGGGAAGACAAUGACGGUACCUGACUAAGAAGCCCCGGCUAACUACGUGCCAGCAGCCGCGGUAAUACGUAGGGGGCAAGCGUUAUCCGGAUUUACUGGGUGUAAAGGGAGCGUAGACGGUACUGCAAGCCAGAUGUGAAAGCCCGGGGCUCAACCCCGGGACUGCAUUUGGAACUGUAAGGCUAGAGUGUAGGAGAGGCAGGCGGAAUUCCUAGUGUAGCGGUGAAAUGCGUAGAUAUUAGGAGGAACACCAGUGGCGAAGGCGGCCUGCUGGACGAUGACUGACGUUGAGGCUCGAAAGCGUGGGGAGCAAACAGGAUUAGAUACCCUUGUAGUC
RNAcentral lists this ribosomal RNA (440 nucleotides) under uncultured bacterium. Its description in RNAcentral is "partial 16S ribosomal RNA". It matches the Rfam family "Bacterial small subunit ribosomal RNA", at positions 338 to 795 of the family's 1533-position model. The record is from RNAcentral.